UACAGAGGUCCCAAGCGUUGUUCGGAUUCAUUGGGCGUAAAGGGCGCGUAGGUGGCGUCGUAAGUCGGGUGUGAAAUCUCGGGGCUUAACUCCGAAACUGCAUUCGAUACUGCGGUGCUUGAGGACUGGAGAGGAGACUGGAAUUUACGGUGUAGCAGUGAAAUGCGUAGAGAUCGUAAGGAAGACCAGUGGCGAAGGCGGGUCUCUGGACAGUUCCUGACACUGAGGCACGAAGGCCAGGGGAGCAAACGGG
RNAcentral lists this ribosomal RNA (253 nucleotides) under uncultured bacterium. RNAcentral's name for it is "partial 16S ribosomal RNA". It matches the Rfam family "Bacterial small subunit ribosomal RNA", at positions 524 to 776 of the family's 1533-position model. The record is from RNAcentral.